Molecule: long non-coding RNA, 3094 nt
Filed under: Equus caballus (horse)
Lineage: Eukaryota; Metazoa; Chordata; Mammalia; Perissodactyla; Equidae
Description: lncRNA (ENSECAG00000044049.1)
Source: RNAcentral
CGGCGCGGGUGAGCAGGGUGGCAGCCGAGCCCGGAGGACGCGGCCACCACAGCUGGCGUCCGCCGCUCUGCGCUUCUCCUCGGAGCUUCUCUUGUUCGGCGGGGCCCACCUCACGCCGCCCGGGCCCCGCGGACCUGCAAACCUGGGGCCGCGAGCAGAUCUGCCCUUGGCGCUUUUCUGGGCUUGGCAGAGGGGUUCCGGCCAGAGAUCUCUGGGUUCGCGCUGGCGAUGCGCAGCGAAGAAAGGCGGGGAGCCGCGUCCGGACUGGGUGCUCUCCGAGCGCGAGGAGGCGGGAUGCGCUCGCCGGGGGCGGCGGGGCGCCCUGCACCCGCCCGCGUUGCGCUCCAGCCCCCGGGCCCGGGAAUGCGGCCGUUCGGGCACCCCCGGUAGCGGCGUCCACGCGCUCUCCGAGGGUCCGGAGCGCAGAGGCCGGCUGCCGGCGCUUUGGCCUUGGAUGGAAAAUGCGGAAUGAGAUGGGGGCCUCCGGACCCCCUAACGUGGAUUACUUGGUGCAUGUGAGCGGGACUCAGAAGACCCACGACCUCGUCUCCGUCCGUGGAUCCAUACGUUCUACCCAACAGUCGGGACGCUCACCUGGAGGUGAAAUCAGACGUUUGUGGCUGACCUGGAUAAAUUGCUUCAAACCAAGAAAGAAGGACAAGAGGAAAGGAGAGCUGUGCACAGGAAUCAGGGCCCAACCCAGCCCCGGUGCUCUGCUGGCUUUGGGGGUUUUGCUCCCUCUGCAGCACACCUGCUGCCUGGGCAUCCCUAAUGCACCAGUGUGCCGGCCCAGCGUGGAGAUCAGCAGGCAGGAUCCUUGCAGUUAGCCAUCAGAGAAGGUCGAGAGACGCAGGCCUAGAAAAGAGGAUUGGCACGGGCUGUUCUCCCUCACACACACCUCCCACCGGGAAGCUUGGUGGAGCCAGGUGUGCACCAGGAGCCCCUGAAGGACCUGGCUAAGAUAGGACCAUCUCUUCAGAGGCAAGAACUCUGGAUCUGAUUGAGAAUUCUUAUUUUGGAGACUAAGGAAACUUCUGGAUUUGAGAAGACAUUUGAGGAGAAAGCAAAGACCCUCAGAGACUGAGGAAUGGUCUGUGUGUUGACCAGCAGGAGCUGGAGGUGACCUAUAGCUGGAGAAGACGCCGUGAUCCCAGACCUCGUCCUUUCUCCUGGAAACCAUUUCCUCUGCUGCUGCCUGCUCUUAGAUUCCCCGCUCCAUCCCCGGAACCAAAAGGCUUUCUGCCACACCCUUUCUUGCCCCCUGCCUCCCACGUCUGCUGUGCCUUGGGACUCAGCAAUUCUUGUUUGCUCCAUUAUCUUCUAGCCGGAUACAGAGUGAAUAGUUAACUACGCUUAGGUCAAAUGGGAUCUUAAUUUUUGUUCCUGCUCCUUCUCAAGAGGCGCAUUUGUGUGUUGCCAUGCAAGCAGUCUUGGUACGGGAUCCCUUCUCAUUUAUUUGGGAUCUGGCCCCACAGGUUCUGGAGUGAUGCAAAUCGGUGAAGUUCUUCAGGCUCUCGGAUGCUAGGGAUGUUGGCAGAGGCUCCGGCAGGGGAGCUGGAUCGUGAAGGCUGAUGUUCUCCAGUUCAGCUUUCUUUGUUCAGAUCUCACACAGGUGGACAUCUGGAGGAGCGGAAAACGGACGCCGUUCUUCAUUCCAACCGCCUUCCCUUGGCACAGAUGCACAGUCAGCUGUGAAGGCCCUCUUCCCUCAGGUGGCCGUUGGGGUCCAUGCCAGAACAUGGUGCUUUGUUACAGCCUGCCCAGCUACCAGAGUUGGUGGUGUUUAUUGAGGACCCCCGCCCUCCAGUGCAUGCUGAUGACACACACACUUGACAACAAAAUACGAGUCCUGUUUGUUCCUUUCACUCUGUGGCCAUUAUAUGUGUGGCUGAAAACACUUCCUAAAUAUUGAUCAUAGUUCAACAUUGUCCAAGACGCAGAGCCAAAGAUGUUUCUACUUUCUAUUUCCAAAGUGAAUGACUUGCCUUUGUAAAAAAGAAUUAAAGCUAGACCUGUCUGUCUUCCCUGUGUUGUAGAUGAUGUCUUUGUAUGACUAGUUAGUGGCUUCAGUGUCUUCUCAGUGGAGCGGUGGGAUCCUUCUUGGCAUCUCAGAUUUACCGCAGAAUGAGAGAGGGGAACCUCUGGAGGAGGUCUCCUGCUAUGGAAAUGUGAGGCUCACUUGCGGGCUAUCACCUUCCUCCCUGACCUGCAGACAGACUCGUUGUAUUAGCUAGAUUCCUUUGGACUUCAAGGAAUAGAGACCCACUUGUAUCAUCUCCAUAAAUACUGGCUUAUUCCAGGUUGCCGUGGAAGUAAGGUAGACAGGAGACCAUCCCGGCGGCUACCCAACGAGGCCUUUCCAAGAAGCCCGAGUCAUUCGAGAUACCCAGUCACCAAAGGUGGUUUCCAGGGAUAGCAGGCCUGUAACAUCAUGGUCGUCUUCAUCUCCUACUUAGCAGCAGAAUCCACUGUUUCUGAUUCUAGAAUUCUGCUCUGGUAAUGAGCAGAGGGUGUGACCAACUGCCCCAGUUUGCCCAGGGCUGAUGGGUUUCCUGGAACACAGAACCUUCAGUGCUAAACCUGGGACAAUUCUGGGCAAACUGGAACAGGUCACGCUACUGGGUGACUCGAUGACCCUUCUUCUGCUUCUGCUUGACCUGCUGUAACCGGCCAAUGCUUUAGAUUGGUUUGGUCAGUCGCCAUUCAGAGCUCUUGUGACUGGCCACUUCACUGGCCACUGGGCAGCCUAUUGAUGGAAGCCAUUAGAUUGGGUACCAAUCUUGACCAAAUCAGUUGUUUCCAGGGUGGUAGGGUUGUAUGAAAUUGAAUAAAAACCUAGGUAUAAAGAGCCAUCGGAGACCACUUCCUUCAGAGGAAAACUGUGGACGGUAGGCAUGCCAGGCAUUGAAGGUAUCAGGGGUUCCUCUCCAAUACGAUCCUACUUAGAAAGGAACCGACUGAACCAACUCCUGAGGACUCCAGUGAGGGAGGGCUGCAACGACUCGAGGUUCUCUUAAAGUGGCAACUGUUGUUUUCCCCCUUAUUUCUCCGAUAUGCUUGAAAAUCCUUUUUAUUAGUGACUCCAUUGACCAAC